UGGCCACCGAAUAGUCUGCCACAAGGUCGUAUAUUGUCCCUGUGGCAGAGUAUUCGGUGGUCAGG
Molecule: microRNA precursor, 65 nt
Filed under: Cordylochernes scorpioides
Lineage: Eukaryota; Metazoa; Arthropoda; Arachnida; Pseudoscorpiones; Chernetidae
Source: RNAcentral